CACAGGGACUUCGAUGGUCGGUGAUGGUGAUGAAGUGCUCAGUCGUGAUGAAGAGUGAUGAGGUGAAUAAUCCAGCAGAAGUGAAGACACAGACGAUCAGGAGCGUAAACAGGCUGAACCGUUUCUUCUGCAGUAUGCCACGUAAUGUCCAAGAGAUUGUCUUGUUGGUCCUGAAAUGAAUGCGACAACCCCUCGCAAAGUGAACAGCUGAUUGUCCAGCUCCAUGUGGACCGGGAUUUCCGAAAGUGGAUGGUUUGUAUCCAUACUUGUUUCGAUACACAACAGUUGUCCAGUUAUGCAUCUGUGUGUUACCGAGCCAUUACAGAGGAAUUUCACUGAUUGAUCAUCCUUAACUUUCCAGCUGUCUGGACACUCUUGGGGUGAUUUCAGUGGCUUCAAGCAUUUGGACCUGUUGAGGUGUAGACCAUCUUCCAGCGCUGCUUGGAGGCUCUUCAGUCCACCAGUUUGUAAAAUAUCUACAUUUACUGGUAGGAGAUAGAUGGUCCUAGACGAUUUCGUAUGUCGGCUGCAGUAUGGAGAAGAGCACUCAGCUGUAAGUGUUGCACUUGGCAUUUCUUUCAUUGUGGAAGCGAUAAUGUCUGCAACAUUGCAAUCCGCAUUGACCUGCCUCACACCUGAUUUUAGGUGAACACACUCAAAUGUAUCCAACAGCAUUUUUGCCCUCUUUGCAUAAGCCUCUUUUGCAACUCCUUUUGUCACUAUGGUCUUUACUAAAUCAACCAUGUCAGUUUGCUCUCUGUUGAGAUAAUGACAAAAUGACCCACUGUUGCAGAAUGCAGAGCAAAGGCACUGGCAAAAGGAAUCAAAGGCACAGGUAUUAUUUACACUUACAAGCAUUUUGUCAACCAAGAUGGGCUUAUUAGCCUGGUAGUUGCCAUUUUUCAUGACAUUAAUUCUUGUCUUUUUUCUUUUCAGGUUUAUGUCUGCAUGCAACCACUCAGAGCAAGGGGUCAAGUAGGACAGUCGCUUUUUUGGAGGAACACCGAGGCCUUUCCAGUUUUCAACAGGGUCUUCCUCCACUGACUGUUGUUUAACCUCUGUGUCCUGCUCACUAUGGGCCGUUUUUGUCUUCUGAUUCUUUGUCUCAGUGUGCUCUGUCUUCACCGGUGCAGAGGAAAGCCUCAUGUUUCCCUCAAGAAACUCAAGGUGGCGUAUGACAAAACGGUCAAUUCGGAUGGGGAGACUUUCAUGUUUGAAAAGACCAUGUUUUAUGUUUUUAAAUUCAGCCUCAACAUUUGCAGAGCUUGCUGUGUUGUGUACACUUUUGAAGUGUGGAACCAUCACAGCUGUCCAAAGAGAUCUGUGUGAAGUGUCUCCUCGACUCCAGUCACCUCUGUUAAAUGGUCAUCUUCAGUGACACAUGGCAAGACCCCCUCUGCAAAUUGUCUCUUCAAUUGUGCUUUGCAUGUUUCCGAGACAACAGCAUUCCCACCGGCUAAUGAGCUUGAUGCAGUGUGCAACAUCUACUCUGAUGAAGCAAGGUGGCAGCUUUGAUUCUUCAGGCUUUCCUGCCAGCACUCCAAAGCACUGAUUGAUGUAUGUUUUCAAGUCUGGGUAAGGAGUGAAGGCCUUAACCAGUGCUCCAAGCAAAGCCAAGGAGAAAUCACAGACCGCUUCUUUGGGAACCGCAGCACCUGCUCGUUGCCAUUCAGUAAGCCAGUUGGAAAUAGAAUUGAUGGUGUGGCUCUCUGAUAGCAUUUGCACUACUGGAAUAUGAUCUCCCUGUGAACACAAAACUCCUUCAUACAGGAAGACAUGUCCAGAAUUGCCACAGGGUCUUCUCAGUCUUUUCACAACUGUACCUGUUGCAUCAAAACUCAUAAAUGAGCCAGAGUACUUGGAUUUCAUUUGAUACACUUGCAUCUGAGAUGGGGUCCAGUAAUGACAAAAAAACCUAUCAAGGCCUAUGUCAUGAAUGCUUCCAUUGUGGGGUACACUGUAUUUUAGUAGAUGCAAUGACAUGAUUGGGUCUUUGUCUCCAAGCUCUUUGUCACCCAUCUCUUGUUUGGCUUUUCUUAAUGUUGCCAGAUUUGGCAGGUGGCUAGGCUCUGGGUCACCAACAUCCAUCAUUUUGUAAGCCUCAGUUGCUCGCCAUACAUGUGCUGGUUUUCGGCCUUCCCAGAGUUCUUUAGAGACACGUGUUCUCAGAUCCCCUGAUAACUUCCGUUUUGCUUUUCCAGUAUGGAGACUGUCAUCAACAUUGCGGAUUAUGCAUUGAAGCACAACUGGUUCAUUAUCCACUGGCAUUUUAUCUGCUUUUAUAGACAAUUGUGUGUCACACUCUGUACAGUGCCCAAUUAUGUCUAUGUAGUGAGAUGCAACAUUUGGAAAGAUUUUUGCCCUCCUGAAUCUAAGAGUGCAUGAGGUCUUGAUAUUUUUCCAUAUCUCCUCAUACAGGACGUGUGUCCAUGCACCACGUUUCAGGAUGGUGUAUUCUCUCUUACAUGUGUUUAGUGAUUUGUCAUUGUAAUCAACUUUUUCAGGCCAGAUUUCUAGCCAUUUCUGAUGAGACUGAUCUCAAGUGUAAUGUCGUAGCAUUGACUUUGCUGAUUUGUGUCUGCUGAAUGAAAAUCUGCUGAGCUUUCUUGUGAGCUGUCACAGUUUGUACCUUGAUCUUGGGUGUCUGUGUCGAUUUUGCAUAGAUCAAGGAUUUGCCAUAUAUUGUGCCUGUUUGUCUUCACAAUAGUAUAAAGGUUCUUUGGUGAAACUUU
Long non-coding RNA from Esox lucius (northern pike), 2732 nucleotides. RefSeq lists it as uncharacterized. The record is from RefSeq and is a predicted model, not a curated record. The transcript is spliced from 4 exons. NCBI's taxonomy places the organism in Eukaryota, Metazoa, Chordata, Actinopteri, Esociformes, Esocidae.